Long non-coding RNA from Papaver somniferum (opium poppy), 1319 nucleotides. RefSeq lists it as uncharacterized. The transcript is spliced from 2 exons. NCBI's taxonomy places the organism in Eukaryota, Viridiplantae, Streptophyta, Magnoliopsida, Ranunculales, Papaveraceae. The record is from RefSeq and is a predicted model, not a curated record.
UCACUUCCACGGUUCCACCACACCACUGUACCGCUCACCCUCUUCACUUCCACCACGCCACUGCGAUUAACAGAAGAAUGAAGAAUCAGAAGAAAAAAAGAAAAACAAAGCUGAUGUUGAUUUUGAGAUUCUAGACGCCAAAUAGAUCUCCCAAAAUCAAAGAAACAUGGAGCAUCAUAUGCAUCAUCAUCGGGAGCGUCUGAUUGGUUUGAUUUUGGGUUUUGGAGUUUUUAAUUUCAUUUGUGGAGUAACAAUUUUGUGGGUUCUAUCUCUUGUUUGAAUUUGACUUGAGAUUGAAAUUUGGAUUUGUCAUUCAACGAUUUAUAAUUGGGUACAUAUCUUGCAAUUGAACCAAAUCGUUACAUUUGAAGGUUCAAAAUUUCGUAUUGUGAAGAUCAUCGGUUCAUAAGAAGAAGAUGAUGGGAGAUUAGGGUUUUUUCUGAAUUAGGGAAGGAAUCGACAGAAUUAGGAAUUUUGUUGUCAAAAAUCAGCACGGAAGUGAAUCGAGAAUUUGUACUUGUGGUGUCUGUUUCCCUUUCUAUUGUUUUAAAUUAUGGUUUACAUAUCAUAUUUGAAGAAGAUGAAUGUACAAUAUUGUAUCGGAGAUUCAAAAUGUAAGAGGAAUUUCGUUGUGUAUGUAUUGCCAUUGAUGUUGACAAGGGUGUGGUUUGCUGCACAGAUGAACAAUGGAUCUGAGUCUGUUGAGUUGGCGGUGUAAUGGCCUAGCCUGAGGUUGAUUGAUACAUAGAUGGUGGAUGAGAUUGGUAUCAGAAGUUGUGGUUGUGAAUUUGCAGUGACUAGAUGUAUGUUUAGGUUGUCUAUGAGACAGAAGACAAGCAGUGGGGUUUGUUUUUGAGCUGGUGAGCUUUACGCUGAGAUUAGAAAGUGAGCAGGAAGAGGUGAUGUGGUUCAGUUGGCUAAAACGGGUGUGAAAAAAUCUUGUUGUAGUAAUUACAAGUGGAGAUAAAAUGGCUAGGAAUUGGUGGUUGAUUGAGUAUCAGGUUAAGAGGUGCAAGCUGGUGAUAGCAGUUGUGGAUAUGAUAUGCUGCAGUGAUGAUUCAUGUGUAGUUCAGCUGUUACUGUUGGUGUAUGGCAGAGAAACAAGAAGGAAAUAGUUCAGAUUGUGGUGUUGGUGUGAAGGCAGGGUCUGAGCAGCUGAAGCUAAGAAGAAGUUUGCCUGAAUGAUUUUGAUGUAAUGUAAAUUCUAAUAAAGUGAAGGUUAUGUUUGUAAUCUGGUUUCACAUUUUAAUUUUAUGUAAAUUUAUUCAUAAUUUGUAAACAAAAAGUCAAGAUUUAACUUGGUCAAUGGAAGUCAACGU